AACCCGGGAAAUGCAAAUUCUCAGUUCUGCUUCACACCUAUGGAAUCAGAAAACUCUUGUGUGGAGUCCAGUAAUCUGUAUUUUAACAAACCCUGUGGGUGAUUCCAGUGCAUGCUGAA
RNAcentral lists this microRNA precursor (119 nucleotides) under Dasypus novemcinctus (nine-banded armadillo). RNAcentral describes it as "miRNA (ENSDNOG00000027358.2)". Lineage: Eukaryota; Metazoa; Chordata; Mammalia; Cingulata; Dasypodidae. The record is from RNAcentral.